GACGAACGCUGGCGGCGUGCUUAACACAUGCAAGUCGAACGGUGAAGCGCCUUCCUUUUUGGUGGGUGUGGAUGAGUGGCGAACGGGUGAGUAACACGUGAGUAACCUGCCCCCUUCUUCUGGAUAACCGCAUGAAAGUGUGGCUAAUACGGGAUAUUCUGGGUCUGUCGCAUGAUGGGUCUGGGAAAGAUAUUGUUUCGGUGGGGGAUGGGCUCGCGGCCUAUCAGCUUGUUGGUGGGGUGAUGGCCUACCAAGGCGGUGACGGGUAGCCGGCCUGAGAGGGUGGACGGUCACACUGGGACUGAGACACGGCCCAGACUCCUACGGGAGGCAGCAGUGGGGAAUAGUGCACAAUGGGCGCAAGCCUGAUGCAGCGACGCCGCGUGAGGGAUGGAGGCCUUCGGGUUGUGAACCUCUUUCGCCAGUGAAGCAGGCCUGCCUCGUUUGUGGGUGGGUGGACGGUAGCUGGAUAAGAAGCGCCGGCUAACUACGU
This 493-nucleotide ribosomal RNA is filed under the name uncultured bacterium. RNAcentral's name for it is "partial 16S ribosomal RNA". It matches the Rfam family "Bacterial small subunit ribosomal RNA", at positions 28 to 506 of the family's 1533-position model. The record is from RNAcentral.